UUUGCAGACACAACAGUAUAUAGAAUAGACUUCUUCUCCAAUCUCCUCUAAGACUAGUAAGGCUAGAGCUAAAACACUGGGUUUUGUGUGUUUAUACCCUACAUAGACAGUGCCAAACAUGUACUGUAAAAUAAUUUUUCUUUUUUUUUUUACUUUUAACAAACAACCAUUGACUGAACAAAACGCAAAUCUCAAGAAAAAGGAAAAAAAAAUAUCAUGUGUUACAUCAGAAAUCUAAAUAAAUCAGAAUUUUUGCAUAUAAAAAUUGUACACAAAUACGAAAAGAUAUACGUUUUCUGUACCUGUUUUACUCUGUGUCCCUUUCUCUUUUUCUUUCUUUUCUCACUCUGCUUGGUGAUAUAACAAUAUAGUGUUUUGGUGGGGUGGGUAAUGUAUAUAUAGUGUAUGUAUAGAUUGUGUUCAUGUAUGUGUAAAUUGUGUGUAU
Molecule: long non-coding RNA, 445 nt
Filed under: Olea europaea (common olive)
Lineage: Eukaryota; Viridiplantae; Streptophyta; Magnoliopsida; Lamiales; Oleaceae
Description: long non-coding RNA (OEUR_LNC005458)
Source: RNAcentral